RNAcentral lists this ribosomal RNA (253 nucleotides) under uncultured prokaryote. RNAcentral describes it as "partial 16S ribosomal RNA". It matches the Rfam family "Bacterial small subunit ribosomal RNA", at positions 524 to 776 of the family's 1533-position model. The record is from RNAcentral.
UACGUAGGGUGCGAGCGUUGUCCGGAAUUAUUGGGCGUAAAGAGCUUGUAGGCGGUUUGUCGCGUCGGAAGUGAAAACUCAGGGCUCAACCCUGAGCGUGCUUUCGAUACGGGCAGACUUGAGGAAUGCAGGGGAGAAUGGAAUUCCUGGUGGAGCGGUGGAAUGCGCAGAUAUCAGGAGGAACACCGGUGGCGAAGGCGGUUCUCUGGGCAUUUCCUGACGCUGAGAAGCGAAAGCGUGGGGAGCAAACAGG